Molecule: long non-coding RNA, 431 nt
Organism: Athene cunicularia (burrowing owl)
Lineage: Eukaryota; Metazoa; Chordata; Aves; Strigiformes; Strigidae
Exons: 5
Source: RefSeq, a predicted model, not a curated record
AGAUGAAGAAACCUGAUCAAGGGUAUAUAGAGCAGGUCUGUACCAGAAUGAGAAACUGUGAAGUCACAAGAGUUGAACUAUGGGUGCACUAAGACUGCCAACACACAAUGGAAGAAGCAAAAAUGGGGAGAUUGAGGGGACUGCACAAAAUGGAAAAAUCUCUUUCUGAAAAUCAUGCCUACCCAAUGAUAUUAAUUUCGACCUUUAGUCUGCUCAGAAUCUAUUGGCAUCAUGAAAUUUUCUGUUUUUUGUGAAAGGAAAUUGGCCUUCCUCCUACCAGCAUACGUGGAGCCAGAGAAUGCCCCAGAGUUGUCAAGGCAACAGCUUUUGCUUGGGGAGCUGCAGAAGAGAAAGUGACAGGAACGUCCUCCAGAGAACCAAGGUCUUUUGUUGUAUGUCAUAUAAACAUGUGCGUCCUCCUUUUGCUGCAA